Molecule: long non-coding RNA, 537 nt
Organism: Peromyscus leucopus (white-footed mouse)
Lineage: Eukaryota; Metazoa; Chordata; Mammalia; Rodentia; Cricetidae
Exons: 4
Source: RefSeq, a predicted model, not a curated record
CGAAGCUGGGACAGCAGAAGGAAGGAUGAACUUAAAAAAGGGGAAAUGAGAGAUGGACUGAGAUUGAAUCCACUUGUCUCAAAAUCCUGGAUUGGGCAAUCCGCCCUGACUCAUAGGGACAACCGAGUCUUCCUUUCAUUCCAAUGAUCGUGUUGACAAGUAGGCUCAAGGGUCUCACAUUCAAGCAUCCUACAGUAAGGAAAUGUCUAUACCACCUUGUCAUCAACAUGUGGUUAUUUCUGUGGAUAAAAUCAGAGAAACAGAAGAGGUCUUAGAAAGGUAUUCAACGAAAUGGCCACAGAGGAGCAGUGGGGAACGGCCCAGUGCUCACCACAAAAACCUGGUGAGUUUGGAUUCCGAGAAGCCACAGGAAAGCUGGAUUCACACACAUCUGUGAUCCUUGUGUUCCUGAAGAAAGAUGAGGAAAAGAUACGGAAGACUCCCUGGGAACUCCUGGCCAGCUAACCUGGAGCACACACUGGGGAAAACAAUGAAGAGACCCCAUGUCAAAAAAAAAAAAAAAAAAAAAAAAAAAAA